AUUGAACGCUGGCGGCAGGCCUAACACAUGCAAGUCGAGCGGAUGAAGGGAGCUUGCUCCUGGAUUCAGCGGCGGACGGGUGAGUAAUGCCUAGGAAUCUGCCUGGUAGUGGGGGAUAACGUCCGGAAACGGGCGCUAAUACCGCAUACGUCCUGAGGGAGAAAGUGGGGGAUCUUCGGACCUCACGCUAUCAGAUGAGCCUAGGUCGGAUUAGCUAGUUGGUGGGGUAAAGGCCUACCAAGGCGACGAUCCGUAACUGGUCUGAGAGGAUGAUCAGUCACACUGGAACUGAGACGGGCUCCAGGCUCCUACGGGAGGCAACAGUGGGGAAUAUUGGACAGUGGGCGAGAGCCUGAUCCAGCCGGGCCGCGUGUGUGGAAGAGGUCUUCGGAUUGUAAAGCACUUUAAGUUGGGGGAAAGGGCAGUAAGUUAAUACCUUGCUGUUUUGACGUUACCAACAGAAUAAGCACCGGCUAACUUCGUG
This 484-nucleotide ribosomal RNA is filed under the name uncultured bacterium. RNAcentral describes it as "partial 16S ribosomal RNA". It matches the Rfam family "Bacterial small subunit ribosomal RNA", at positions 30 to 507 of the family's 1533-position model. The record is from RNAcentral.